ACAAUCUAUCGCUGACUUUUGCGAUCAAUCAUACUGGAACCAAAUUCUUUCUUCAAAAUCAAGCUUAGGUUAUGAAUGAUCGUGCCUAAGCUACGAUCAAUCGUAUUAUAAUUUACCUAUUUCAAAUUUGGGCCCCACUUUCCUCGCCUAUAAACCCUAUUUUAUUUUUUCUUUUUAUUCUUCCCCUCUCCUCUUUAUCUUCCUUCCUUUCUUUUCUUUCUUUCCUUCUCUUCUCUCUCACCUCUUAAUCUCUAUCUCUCUUUAUUCACCCGAAGCCCCCACACAAACCCUAGCCCUCAUCUCUUAUCCCUUUGUCUAUCUCAACUGUGAGCCACCACCAUAAAAAAUCCCUCGACAGUGAGAUGUUCGACCACCGCAUCUCACGACUACGAUUUCGGUGCCAUCUCAAGCCACCGUGUCCUCUCUCUCUUCGGUGAGAUCUUGGCCUCCUCGGCCGAGCUCCUCUCACUUGCAGGCACUCUCCUCCACUCUCGGUCUGUCUAUUCUCCGGCUGUUUUACGGCCAAAGAGAACUCAUCACUGCAAACGCCAGUGGUCUCUACAACUUUUGACGACCAUUCCGCCAUCUUCAGUCAUCUUCUCCGGCUGACCGAAAAUUUUCCCGAGUCUCACCUCUCUGUUCCUUUUCUAUCUCUCUCAGAUGCAAUGGAGGAAAUCUAUCGCUAGAAAAGGAAAGAGAGUUAUCUAGCCUCCACAGCCACCUCAUUCUCUCGAGAGUGAGUCUUUUUCUUUUGAGUCUGUAGCAGCUGGAUCAUCCUUUUCUACUACAUCCUCAUCCAGUGCCUCCUCUAGCACACAUUCCAUAGAUCCACAGGCACCUAUCCAUACUUUUCUAAGAAAGGAUGGGAUCCAAAGUAUGCUUUUGAUACAAGUUUCUUUUCUCGGUCUGAGCAGACCAAGUGGGGAUAUGAUGAGAUCUUCUAUCGUGGUAUUACUUCUAAUCUGAUGCCGGUAAAUGACAAGGUGUACCCACGGUUGGUAGCUUUGUUCUUCCAGCACCUCCGUCGGGAUGAGGUUGACACCCAGAUCCUACACACUACAGAGGAUGGGCAGGAUAUUGUCAUUUCUACAGCUACCAUUGAGAUAGCUUGCAGAUGCCCCCACCUUUCUCCAACAGUCACAGAGUCAAAGUAGCCAUUGUAUCCUCUUAUCACAGAGUAUCCGUGUAGGUGCAAUUUUUCACCCCCGAACACUUAGAGAGGUAAAUUAAAGAAAAUAUACAAAAUAUGAAAGAGACACUAGACAAUUUUGGCAAUAAAGAACAAUGAUAGGAAUUCGAUGAUCUUUCUCUCUUAUUCAUGCUUUAUUUAUAAGCUUGUACAGAGAUUUACAUGGAGCUGUUAUUGGCAGUUUUCUUUUUGAACGUGGGUGUUUAUGACUUCCUUAUAAUGCGGCCCUCUCUUUUAUGGUGGGCAUUAUGGAAGUUCGAAUGUAUUGAUUCUGGGCCAUUCUUUGGUCCAUUGCUGUUGAACGGGUUCUCCCUUACUAAUUGGGCUGAAUUGGCCUUCUCUCAAGUCUUCCUUGUUGGGCCUUUGACUUUUAGGCUAUUCUGACAUAAGGCGAGUUUAAUAUUUGUUGACAUGUGGUGCAUUAUGAUUGGUGGGGAAAUUUAAUUCUUCUAUACUUUGCUGCCCAUUCCUUUUAUGAAUUGUAUUCAUGUAUGCAAUUUGUAACUAUUUUCAAGAAGUGGAGAAGUUUCUGCGGAUAUUACUGCUCAUCA
Long non-coding RNA from Cornus florida, 1740 nucleotides. RefSeq lists it as uncharacterized. The transcript has 2 exons. The record is from RefSeq and is a predicted model, not a curated record. NCBI's taxonomy places the organism in Eukaryota, Viridiplantae, Streptophyta, Magnoliopsida, Cornales, Cornaceae.